Molecule: ribosomal RNA, 582 nt
Filed under: uncultured bacterium
Lineage: Bacteria
Description: bacterial SSU rRNA
Rfam family: Bacterial small subunit ribosomal RNA
Source: RNAcentral
CCUACGGGAGGCAGCAGUAGGGAAUCUUCCACAAUGGGCGCAAGCCUGAUGGAGCAACGCCGCGUGAGUGAAGACGGCCUUCGGGUUGUAAAGCUCUGUCUGUCGGGACGAAGACCGGGACGGGAGUCCCGGGGAGCCGGUACCGACGAAGGAAGCCCCUGCAAACUACGUGCCAGCAGCCGCGGUAAGACGUAGGGGGCAAGCGUUGUCCGGAAUUACUGGGCGUAAAGGGCGUGUAGGCGGAGCGAUACGUAGCGGUUUUAAGCCUCCGGCUCACCCGGAGGAGGGCGGCUAAACGGUCGCACUGGAGGGCAGGAGAGGUGCGUGGAAUUCCUGGUGGAGCGGUGAAAUGCGUAGAGAUCAGGAAGAACACCAGUGGCGAAGGCGGCGCACUGGCCUGACCCUGACGCUGAGGCGCGACAGCGUGGGGAGCAAACGGGAUUAGAUACCCCGGUAGUCCACGCCGUAAACGAUGGAUACUAGGUGUCGUGGGGGUCCACCCUGCGGUGCCGGAGCUAACGCACUAAGUAUCCCGCCUGGGGAGUACGGCCGCAAGGUUGAAACUCAAAGGAAUUGACGGGG